RNAcentral lists this long non-coding RNA (2204 nucleotides) under Marmota monax (woodchuck). The record is from RNAcentral. Lineage: Eukaryota; Metazoa; Chordata; Mammalia; Rodentia; Sciuridae.
UGGGUGUGUAUGAACCUGCACACGUGGGAGAGAAGCCUGGGGCCCGGGAUGCAGGGAGCCAGCAGGAAAGUCUCAGGUGAGGUCUAGACUAGGCUGGAGCUGGCUGUUGCCACGUCAGCAGCUGAAGAUAGAAAGUAGUCCUAAUUUCAGGGAGAGAGCGAAGCCGUUGUCCGCUCCACCCCUUGAGCUCUAAUUCUUGCUUUGCGCCCCAAUCCCACCCACCGCCACGGUCCAGGUGGCUCAGGAGUAGGGUGUCUUCCAGAUCUGAGACCCUGAUUCUACUGGAGGCUUAGCCCCGAGAAGCUGCCAGCCACAUGCAUCCAGGGCCUGCUGCGGGGCUGGAGCUAAGCUGCCUAGGGAGGAAAGUUGAGGAGGCACAACUCCGGGGCUGUGGAAGAGUCAUCAAACUCUUCACUCAGGUCCGGCAUCCUAACUACAGAAAUCUGGGGUUCUGGCAAUGAGCUUUAAAAAUGUCAAGGCUUUGAAAGCACUUUGAUAUGUUGGAUCUUAUUUGAAUCUCAUUAAAAAAAUGUCGAAGAAUUAUCACCAUUUCUAAAUGGCAUUGAGGGAGAGGUGCACGACAUUGGACGCUUGGUGUUUCCUACAUUUACCACGUAUGAAAUAAUGGAGAGAGAGAGAAAGAGAUAGAAGAUGAGUAACUGGGAAACCCACUCCACCUUCCAGAUAAGACCCCAUUCUGGAUUUGGGCCCAUCUGUGUUGCGCCUACAGUCAAAAUCCGCUUUCCGCUUUACCGGAACUUUUGCACUUGAACCCCACGACGCCUCCCUUCCUACACCUUAGACAUUACAUUGACCAAAGCACAAUUGAUGUGGUUUGAGUUCUUCCUGAGAGCGCCCCCCAGAGAAGCCCCUGGGAAAGACCGGUGCAGGGCCCAGCUUUGCACCUGUCUUUAGCCACGCGUGUUGCAAGCGCAUCUCUGCACGAAAAUGCAGGGUUGCCUGCCCCAAAGCCACUGUGGGGGUCCUGUAAAAAACGAGGGUCCAGGUGGGAGGUCUGGGAGUGAGGUGGGGGAUGAGGUAGGUGGUGAGGAAAGCGAAUGUUAGUAUAGAAGUUGGCUUUGUAUUGAAGGAGUACAGAACACUCUUCAAGGAGAGGAUAGAGAUCUUAAAAAGCAAACAGAAUAACUUUCACUACUAUAAUUGCUAUUAAUGAAAAAGGAGUUUAACCUGCUGAAUUAAGUAGAUAAAACCUGCUUGUUCAUUAUUGGGAGUUCCCUCACUACAAAGAGGGAAAAUAAAACAAGGAAACAAAAACCAAAUUCGAGGAGCUUCAUUGACUGGCCUCCGAAGUAUCUUGGAGGCAUCAGUCGGUCCGGAAAGCGCUCCGCCCUCUCAGUCCCCAGCGCAGUGAGAAAGCUAAAACCACCAAAGAAAAAGCAAAACAAAAACAAACAACGAAAGCGUUUAAAAUCCAAGAGGGAAAGUCUAAGUUGGUCUCAAAAUCUGCGCCAUGCCGCGGGUAGUCAACUCGGCUGCAGAUCCCGGACCGCCAGAGCCACGCAUCUGACGCCCCCGGCCCCGCUGGGGAGCGCAGCCCACAGCUCCCCCUCGCCAGGCGCCCAAGGACCCUCAAGGCGCGGGGCUCACACUUGAAGCCUGGGAACGCUCAGACAGGAAACCCACUUCCUCCUAAGCAGUUUCUUGCUCGCAGGAUGAGAGGUGCCCAAUUGAAGUAGAAUGAUCCUCAUCUACUAAUAUCCAGCGUGGCCACAAAGCGACUGGCCAUUUACGCAGCCACUUUAAACAAAGAUAUUUGGUUAUUCCCGGGGAAGCAAGUGCACUUUUGCAUGGCUGAGCUCCGGGGCGGAGGAGAGCUUCAGCCCAGCCUCCCGCCCGUUACGUUGCCAGCGCCAGGGUAUUCGCCCCCUCCCGGUCAGCGGGUCCCGCCAGGGUUUAGUUCCACCCGAGUACAGGCGAGAGGGCUCUCUCGCCGCCGGUUGCCGGUGUCCUCUGGAAGCCCCCCAAGGGGAAAACAGAGAGGCUCUCCUCUCUGGUUCUGAGGCUAUGAGGUCCUCUGAAAGUCGGUUCCAGCCCCAGAAUCCUGAGUGUCCAGACAAUGGGCCAGGGUCAGGGACAACUUCAGUGACGGACUCUCAUGUUAGUCGUUCCCCAUCUUCCUAGCUCAGGAGGCUACUGGUGUGCUUGCCUCAACCGGGGGUGGAGGUGGGGAGACAGCGUGCGGG